This 3216-nucleotide long non-coding RNA is filed under the name Pan troglodytes (chimpanzee). RNAcentral describes it as "long non-coding RNA NONPTRT003334". Lineage: Eukaryota; Metazoa; Chordata; Mammalia; Primates; Hominidae. The record is from RNAcentral.
CUUUUUUGAGACAGGGUCUUGCUCUGUUGCCCACGCUGGAGUGCAGUGGUGAGAUCAGGGCUCACUGCAGCCUCCACCUUGUGGGCUCAAGCCAUCCUCCCACCUCAGCCUCCCAAGUAGCUGGGACUACAGGCGUGUGCAACCACAUCUGGCUAGUUUCUGUAUGUUUUGUGAAGACGGGGUCCCACUAUGUGGCCCAGGUUGGUCUUGAACACCUGGGGUCAAGUAGUCCUCCUGCCUUAGCCUCCUAAAGUGCUGGGAUGACAGGCCUGAGCCCCGCGCCCGGCCAGCCUCCUGUGCGAGGUUGUGCGUGUGCGGGACUCUGUCGUGGAACCCAGUAUGCCUUCGUAUGCUGGCUUGUUUGUUGACUCUGUAGUUAACGGGCUGCCCCACGUGGGCAGGCACUGGGUCGUCUGUGUCUCUGUGUGCAGGCAGAGGCUGCUGCGGGUGCAUCUGUGCACAUGGCUGCCAGGAGGGGCUGUGCUCAGGGGGAGCUGGGGCAGAGGCUGGUGGCAAUGGGGGGCUUGGGUGUAGUGUGGAGGCACGAGAGCCAGGUGGCUGGGCUGCAGUCUGCGGGAGCUCGGGGGUCGCUUGGCCUCUGUGUGUCCCAGUGUCUUUGUCGGUGUGAUGGGACAAUGACAGCCCACCCUCACAGGUGCUGGGGACUGACAAAUGUCAGGUCUGAGGACAGUGGCUGGCCCACUACGGGGCCAGUUUCCCUUCUCUAUAGUCACCCUGCUCGUCUUCCAUCAACUGGGUGCUCAGGACAGUGGCAUGGUGGAUCCGCCUGUACAGCCUGUGCUCCAGCAUCUUGCAGGCCACAGCUGUGUCCAGCCCUGACCCCGACUGCCCCUCCCGCCACCUCCAUUUUAUAGAUGAGGAAACCGAGGCCCAAGGGCUUAGGGAACUGUGCUCUGAAGCACAUAGUAGGGCUGCUGGGCUCAGACCCUCCCUCCCUGUGCUGAGCUGCCCUCCUCCUGCCGCAAGCCCCCCACACCCCGAGCCCACCCUGCUCAAUGGCCUGUGCCCGAGUUCCCUGCAUGGUGUGGGAGUGUGGGACAUCCUAGCUUUUCCCCGGCGCCCAGUUCUUUCACUUCCACUGGAGUCCUGCAGGGACAGCUCAGGGACCAUGCAGGCCCGGGUGGGCGUGGGGGCUCAGCUAGCUUGGUGGUGAACAGCUGGCACGUCUCUGGGUUGUGGACGGUAAAGGCCAUGUAGACCUCAGGAGUCCGCUUGUGCUCCUGGCAGGCAGCCAGCCUCCACAGGACCCCGACCAGCGACACGAUGGCUUCUGGGCAAUACAGCAUGUCUACGGUGAAAGCUUCAGGUUACUGAAAGGGACAAGUGGAAAGUUCCAGUUCAUGCUGACCUCAGGAGCAGGGCGAGGCCAGAGAGGCAGCGGUCCUAUGAGACUAUUAGAUGCCAUUUGACUAUUUGGGCCAUUAGAUGGAAAGGCAAUUACUUGGGUGAAAAAGGAGAACCCUUAGUAGAGAAAGCUGCAAAAGACCGAAGCAAAAGAAAAAAAUCUCCAGACUCACUGGUGUUCCUUAAAAAACCAGCUCUGGUUCUCGGCCUCUCUAGAGGGCUUUGAAUGACAGAAAGCCUGACCCUGCCGUGAACUUCGUGUUUCAGGUGUCUGCCGAUUGGUCUGCUGGCUUGCAGGGGUGGGCCUGUGUCCCUGGCCACCGCUGGACCUGUGGUUUUCAGGGCUGGGACCCAGGACCACAGGCAGAGCUCUGCUCCACCAGAGAGGGGACUGAGUGUGCUGGCAGGGGCGAGGGGUUUUUGGUGGCCCAGCCAAACACCACCUUCUCUCAAGGGCCCUGUCCUCGUCCCAGAAGUGGUUGUUUUCCUCCUGUGGUCUCUGAAGGACACAGGGCAUGGCUCUGGGACAGAGCUAUGUGCCGACGACUGUAACGGGAGUAUGCCUGUCUCCAAGAGGGCUGUGGCUUGAAGGUCACCUUAAGAGGCACCCCUGUCCUUUGAUGUCACCCUGGAGGCCCAGAGUAACUCUUCUGGAAGCCCCAUCAUGUCCAUGCCCGACAGCGUCCAUUGUUCCCUUUUCCCAGAGCCAAGAGCUGGGUAGAGCUGCAAGGACACCACCUGCACAGGAUGCCCGGGGCUGGGCAUUACCUGCUGCAAUGACAAUAUCUGGCUGGAAGGCAGAGAGCUGAUGGACCAUCGCUACGUCCUAGUCCAGCUGGGCCACUGUCACCCUGGGGCUGUCUAAGUUGGCAGUGAUGUCUGCCUCUAAUGAGAGGCCAUUGAGAAGUACAUUCCCUCGGAGCUGCUCGAGGAUCCGGCUGUGAGGGUCGCUGAAGAUGUAUGCCCAGGGGUGGCACAUCUUGCAGAUGGCAAGGCCUGUGAGGCCGGCACCACUGCCAAGUUCAAGGACAGUCCUGGCGGGAGGAAAGGGGACCGUGUCUUCGACUGCACCAGGGUAAGCCUGCCUCGGUGCCCUGCCCUGUGCCCCGAGGUCACCUGUUAGUGAAGGCUGCCGGGUUCUCGAUGGCCCAUUCUGCAAGGUGGCGUCCCAUGUGACCAGGCCUGUGGUACCGUGGGAGAUGAUGGCUGUGCUCUCAGAGAGUGUGACCGAGCCUCCCGAGGGCUGCACCAAGAGAGGGCGAGAGAGUCAGUCCAGCGAUCAGAAGGUAAGUGGCUUAGAAGACAAGUAGCCAUCCACCACAUGGCUGAAUAAACCAUGACAGGACCAAUCGCCACUCAGCAAUGAGAAGCAGCUAACUGUUGACAUACCAACAGCUUUCACGGGCCUCAAGGGUGUCACGUGGCAUGAAAGACACUCAUCUCAGGCCACACAGGAUUCCAUUCAUCGAACAUUCCUGAGACAAUGGAAUUCUGGUGAUGGAGCACAGGUCAGUGGUGGCCAGGGGCCAGGUGUGGCUAUGAAGGGGUGGCUGCCUUGUGAUGAUUCAAUAUGCUAUGUUUUUCCUUUGUGGUUUUCUGUAUCUAUGUUUUAUCUUAUUUUUUUUUUUUUUGAGCUCUGUCCCCCAGGCUGGAGUCAGUGGCACGAUCUUGGCUCACUGCAACCUCUGCCUCCUGGGUUCAAGCAAUUCUCCUGCCUCACCUGCCCAAGUAGCUGUGACUACAGGUGUGUCUGCUACUGCCUACUAAGGAAUGGCUUCUCGACAUCCUCAUGUCAAACCCUGCAUGUUUGGGCCCGUCUUUAAAAUCCAUCCUAGGCCAGGUGCAGUGGCU